This 254-nucleotide ribosomal RNA is filed under the name uncultured bacterium. Its description in RNAcentral is "partial 16S ribosomal RNA". It matches the Rfam family "Bacterial small subunit ribosomal RNA", at positions 524 to 776 of the family's 1533-position model. The record is from RNAcentral.
UACGGAAGGGGCAAGCGUUGUUCGGAAUCAUUGGGCGUAAAGGGCGCGUAGGUGGUUCUGUAUGUCUACCGUGAAAGCGUACGGCUCAACCGUAUUUUGUCGGUGGAAACUGCAGGACUUGAGGCUGGGAGGGGCUGGUGGAAUUCCCUGUGUAGCGGUGAAAUGCGUAGAGAUGGGGGGAGAACACUCGUGGCGAAGGCGGCCAGCUAGACCAGUUCUGACACUGAGGCGCGACAGCGUGGGGAGCAAACAGG